Long non-coding RNA from Felis catus (domestic cat), 650 nucleotides. RefSeq lists it as uncharacterized. NCBI's taxonomy places the organism in Eukaryota, Metazoa, Chordata, Mammalia, Carnivora, Felidae. The record is from RefSeq and is a predicted model, not a curated record. The transcript has 2 exons.
AGAAAACUCCGAAAACUGCCAAGGACUUGGGGCCCUCAGGUUUCGGACUCACCCCUACCUGAAAUGAUGUGUCCAGCGUUUCAGGAUGGAAACGAAUGCCAGUGCGUCGGCCAAGGACUUGUGCAGAAGCUUCUCGUUAAUUGUCCCACCUGGAGGCUGUGUGGAGGGUUAGAGAGUGUGGCCUAGGGAGCCAGUGCAGAGUGUGGCUUGAUUGCAUCCGUCUUUGAAGUGUUCUUGACGUGGUUCCUGUGGCCGCAAGCCUGAGGCCCCCUCUCCAGUGGCCGUGGGCAUGCCUCCUGUGCAAAGGGCACCUGCAUACCUUCUUGAGUCUCGACGAGGGAUUCGGGAUCCCAGCGUGUGGGGAGCUCUGAACAGUAGUUAAACAGGAGCCAAAUCCCUCAGUAUCCAGGUUGACUCCAAACGGAUCUCCCACCCCAGGGAAAUAGCAGGAUGUGAUCGCUCCCGUUUAAAAUCCAUCAAGCCCCAGUUCGUCCAUUUUCCCCCCCGUGUGUCCCCUUCUCUCCAUCACUACCUGACUCUCCAUCUCUUCUCUCUCAUCUCCUACCUCCUCCUCUCCUUCCUCUGCCUCCUUGUCUUUUCCCUAGUCGCUCCCAAACAGACUAUGAUAAAGACUUGUGUCUACCCACAUG